GACGAACGCUGGCGGCGUGCCUAACACAUGCAAGUCGAACGGAACUGUUUUGAAAGAUUUCUUCGGAAUGAAUUUGAUUUAGUUUAGUGGCGGACGGGUGAGUAACGCGUGAGUAACCUGCCUUCAAGAGGGGAAUAACAUUCUGAAAAGAAUGCUAAUACCGCAUGACAUAUCGGAACCACAUGGUUUUGAUAUCAAAGAUUUUAUCGCUUGAAGAUGGACUCGCGUCCGAUUAGUUAGUUGGUGAGGUAACGGCUCACCAAGACCGCGAUCGGUAGCCGGACUGAGAGGUUGAACGGCCACAUUGGGACUGAGACACGGCCCAGACUCCUACGGGAGGCAGCAGUGGGGGAUAUUGCGCAAUGGGGGCAACCCUGACGCGGCAACGCCGCGUGAAGGAUGAAGGUUUUCGGAUUGUAAACUUCUUUUAUUAAGGACGAAAAAUGACGGUACUUAAUGAAUAAGCUCCGGCUAACUACGUG
RNAcentral lists this ribosomal RNA (482 nucleotides) under uncultured bacterium. Its description in RNAcentral is "partial 16S ribosomal RNA". It matches the Rfam family "Bacterial small subunit ribosomal RNA", at positions 28 to 507 of the family's 1533-position model. The record is from RNAcentral.